GCAGAUCAGCAUUGCUGCGGUGAAUACGUUCCCGGGCCGUUCGUACACACCGCCCGUCACGUCACGAAAAGUCGGUAACACCCGAAGCCGGUGGCCCAACCCCCUUGUGGGAGGGAGCUGUCGAAGGUGGGACUGGCGAUUGGGACGAAGUCGUAACAAGGUAGCCGUACCGAAGGUGCGGCUGGAUCACCUCCUUU
RNAcentral lists this non-coding RNA (197 nucleotides) under Streptomyces afghaniensis 772. Its description in RNAcentral is "Bacterial small subunit ribosomal RNA". It matches the Rfam family "Bacterial small subunit ribosomal RNA", at positions 1344 to 1533 of the family's 1533-position model. The record is from Rfam by way of RNAcentral. Lineage: Bacteria; Bacillati; Actinomycetota; Actinomycetes; Kitasatosporales; Streptomycetaceae.